GUCGUUGUUUCGUCACUGAGUCAUAUAUAUAUUCCUUGUUAUUAUGCUAUGAAUAUAAUUAUAAAGCCUUAGUUUAGAAUGAACACUGUAAACAUAAUAUUCUUACCCUAUUUGAACUGAUAGGUACCUACAAAUAUUUGUAUGCCCAAUUAUGGGCAUUAUGUUUUAUGGUCUGUGCCUCCGUCUGUUCGUUCGUUCGUCCGUCCGUCUGUCUGUCUGUCCGUCCGUUCGUCCUGCUUCAUGUUAAAGUUUUUGGUCGAGGUUGUUUUUGGUGAAGUUGAAAUUCAAUCAACUUGGAACUUAGUACACAUGUUUCCUAUGAUAUGAACUUUCUAAUUUUAAUGCAAAAUUAGAUAUUUCACGGUCCAGUGAACAUAGAAAAUGAUAGUGCAGAUUGGACAUCCAUGUACUUAGGACACAUUCUUGUUUUUUGAAAUAUUUUAAGAUUAGUGUGAUUGACAUUUUAUAUACAAACAUAGAUUAUUUGGAAUAUGAUUUUGUUGUUAAAUU
Molecule: long non-coding RNA, 510 nt
Filed under: Mytilus galloprovincialis (Mediterranean mussel)
Lineage: Eukaryota; Metazoa; Mollusca; Bivalvia; Mytilida; Mytilidae
Source: RNAcentral